Molecule: long non-coding RNA, 526 nt
Organism: Anopheles stephensi (Asian malaria mosquito)
Lineage: Eukaryota; Metazoa; Arthropoda; Insecta; Diptera; Culicidae
Exons: 2
Source: RefSeq, a predicted model, not a curated record
AGUCGCAGCCAGCCAGAGUUUCGUACGGUGAAUCGAACGCAUCCAACUGCAUAAGCAUUUCGUGACCGGACCGAUGCGGAUCCAGAAACCAGGUACAGCCGGAAACAAACCCCGUUUGGCUGUAAAACCAGCAUCAUCCCCGUGACGAGUCGUGACGCGGUCCACCAAACACGAACAAGAAGCGGUACCGUCCGGGCACCAUUAAAAACAGCAUUAUCGCGGCUGCCGUGUGCGUGUGUGUGUGAGAAAUUGGUGUGAGUGCGUGUGUGUGUGUGUACCAUAAAGAAUGCCUAAACGUAGCUUGAUAAGUCUUAUCGCUAAUUUUUAACGGUGGCUGUGCGUAGCAAAAAAAAAAUGAAGGGAAUGCUUAAAUGCACCCGGUGUCCUUACGUGUGUGUGUGUGUGUGUGUGUGAUCAGUGUUGGAUGUAAAUUUUCCUACCGGGCUGUGUGAGUGCAAGUGUUCUCCUUCUCACUUAUAGUAUCUACCCCUCAAAAGGCUCAUAAAUUGGUGUCGUGUUGAAGCUU